RNAcentral lists this ribosomal RNA (2128 nucleotides) under Schleiferia thermophila str. Yellowstone. Its description in RNAcentral is "bacterial LSU rRNA". It matches the Rfam family "Bacterial large subunit ribosomal RNA", at positions 1 to 2140 of the family's 2925-position model. The record is from RNAcentral. Lineage: Bacteria; Pseudomonadati; Bacteroidota; Flavobacteriia; Flavobacteriales; Schleiferiaceae.
GAGAGAAGUUAAGAAGGGCACACGGGGGAUGCCUUGGCUUCCGGAGGCGAAGAAGGACGUGGUAAGCUGCGAUAAGCCGCGGGGAGCUGCACGCGAGCGUAGAUCCGUGGAUUUCCGAAUGGGGUAACCCCUCCGAAUGAAUUCGGAGAUCUCCGUAUAGGAGAGGCGAACCCGGGGAACUGAAACAUCUAAGUACCCGGAGGAGGAGAAAACAACAGUGAUUCCCUUAGUAGUGGCGAGCGAACGGGGAGGAGCCCAAACCCAUGGUGUUUAGGCACUGUGGGGGUAGUAGGACCGACGAGAGGCAUGCACAUUCGAAGCCGAACAGUUUGGAAAGACUGGCCAUAGGAGGUGAAAGCCCUGUAGGCGUAAGGAUGUGAGAUGUCAGUUGGUAUCCUGAGUAGCGCGGGACACGAGGAAUCCCGUGUGAAUCAGCCGGGACCAUCCGGUAAGGCUAAAUACUCCCGGAAGACCGAUAGUGAACAAGUACCGUGAGGGAAAGGUGAAAAGAACCCUGAGUAAGGGGGUGAAAGAGAACCUGAAACCGUGUGCCUACAAGCGGUCGGAGCUACGUAAGUAGUGACGGCGUGCCUUUUGCAUAAUGAGCCUACGAGUUGCGCAUCACUGGCGAGGUUAAGGGCUUAAGGUCUGGAGCCGAAGCGAAAGCGAGUCUGAAGAGGGCGUAUAGUCAGUGGUGGCAGACGCGAAACCUAGUGAUCUACCCAUGGCCAGGCUGAAGCUUCGGUAACACGGAGUGGAGGGCCGAACCAGUGAGCGUUGAAAAGCUUUUGGAUGAGCUGUGGGUAGGGGUGAAAGGCUAAUCAAACUGGGAAAUAGCUCGUACUCCCCGAAAUGCAUUUAGGUGCAGCCUUGUGGUGGAGUAUGUCAGAGGUAGAGCCACUGAUAGGAUGCGGGGGUUUCACCGCCUACCAAAUCCUGACAAACUCCGAAUGCUGACAUAUAUACACAGGAGUGAGGGCCGGGGUGCUAAGGUCACGGUCCGAGAGGGAAAGAACCCAGAUCAACGGCUAAGGUCCCGGAGUUAUCGCUAAGUUGUUCAAACGAGGUCGAACUGCAUUGACAGCUAGGAUGUUGGCUUGGAAGCAGCCAUUCAUUUAAAGAGUGCGUAACAGCUCACUAGUCGAGCGGUUUGGCAUGGACAAUAAUCGGGCAUAAGCGAUACACCGAAGCCUUGAUGCUCGUAGGAGCAGGUAGGGGAGCAUUCUGUAGGCGUUGAAGGAUAGCUGAGAGGCUUACUGGAGCGUACAGAAGAGAAAAUGUAGGCAUAAGUAACGAUAAGGCGGGUGAGAAACCUGCCCACCGAAAGACUAAGGUUUCCCGGGCGAUGUUAAUCAACCCGGGGUAAGUCGGGAGCUAAGGCGAGGUCGUUGUAGAGACGGCGUAGCUGAUGCCAAAUCGGUUAAUAUUCCGAUACCUGCUUAUAAUGCGAAGCGGGGACGAAGCAGUGACACCUCCGCCCGGUGACGGAAAUCCGGGUUAAAGCUUGUAGGUAGAUUGGCAGUAGGCAAAUCCGCUGCUGAUGCCGAAGGUGAUAGUACUCAGAGUCUACGGACGAUGAGAUAGAGAGGGUAAUCAGACUUCCGAGAAAAGCCGCUAAGCUUCAGUUAUAAGCAGCCCGUACCGUAAACCGACACAGGUAGUCGAGGAGAGGAUCCUAAGGUGCUCGAGUGAGUCGUGGCUAAGGAACUAGGCAAAUUAACCCCGUAACUUCGGGAGAAGGGGUCCCUGCCGUAAGGUGGGGCGCAGAGAAAUGGCCCAGGCGACUGUUUAUCAAAAACACAGGACUCUGCGAAUUCGAAAGAAGAAGUAUAGGGUCUGACACCUGCCCGGUGCCGGAAGGUUAAGAGGAGGGGUUAGCCGAAGAGGCGAAGCUCUGAAUUGAAGCCCCGGUAAACGGCGGCCGUAACUAUAACGGUCCUAAGGUAGCGAAAUUCCUUGUCGGGUAAGUUCCGACCUGCACGAAUGGUGUAACGAUCUGGGCACUGUCUCAGCCACGAGCUCGGUGAAAUUGUAGUCUCGGUGAAGAUGCCGGGUACCCGCAAUGGGACGAAAAGACCCCGUGAACCUUCACUACAGCUUAGUAUUGACUUUGGACAACGGAUGUGUA